AAUGAUAAUAAUCAAGGUUCAUAAAUAAAUCGUAGAAUCGUAUUCUGUUAUAUCAAUCCCGACAAUGAGAAUUUAUAAAAGUCCGAUCGUAAAAGGACAAUUUUUGUUCGAAUAAUUUGACUGAAAUAUUUAAUUUCAAAAUACAAUUAUUAAAUUAAUAACCGUAGUUAUCGUAUAUUAAGUAAAUCGGGAGAGGGUUUAACCACCGCACCCGCGCACGCCACUAUAUUUAUUUGUUAUAUACUUCAGACAUAGUAUUAAUUUUAAAUAUUUAAUAUCUGCUUCUUGCACAAUUUUAAAAACUGCAGUUGUACGAUGGUUAUUGUACACAGUCUUUCAAUUUGAUUUACCUCGAAAUGUAUACUGAAAAAAAAAAUACACGAACGGUGAAAUUAAACAUAAAACUUUAUAAUCUUUCGAAUUUACAAUGAACAAAAUUCUAUACUUUGUACUAUAUUGUACAGUGUUGCAGUUGAGGUAAACGAGAAUCGAAACGAGUUUUCAAUACCCGGUUUCUUUGUAUCUCACUUUUUUUUAUACUUAUUUUAAAGUUUU
Non-coding RNA from Cinara cedri, 555 nucleotides. NCBI's taxonomy places the organism in Eukaryota, Metazoa, Arthropoda, Insecta, Hemiptera, Aphididae. The record is from the annotation of a GenBank genome assembly.